This 430-nucleotide ribosomal RNA is filed under the name uncultured archaeon. Its description in RNAcentral is "bacterial SSU rRNA". It matches the Rfam family "Archaeal small subunit ribosomal RNA", at positions 474 to 903 of the family's 1478-position model. The record is from RNAcentral.
UACCAGCUCUCCGAGUGGUAGGGAUGAUUAUUGGGCUUAAAGCGUCCGUAGCCGGCUUAGCAAGUUUCCUGUUAAAUUCAGCGACCUAAUCGUUGAGCCGCGGGAAAUACUACUAGGCUAGGAGGCGGGAGAGGUCGACGGUACUUCUGGGGUAGGGGUGAAAUCCUAUAAUCCCGGGAGGACCACCAGUGGCGAAGGCUGUCGACUAGAACGCGCUCGACGGUGAGGGACGAAAGCUGGGGGAGCGAACCGGAUUAGAUACCCGGGUAGUCCCAGCUGUAAACGAUGCGGGCUAGGUGUUGGGGUGGCUACGUGCCACUUCAGUGCCGCAGGGAAGCCAUUAAGCCCGCCGCCUGGGGAGUACGGCCGCAAGGCUGAAACUUAAAGGAAUUGGCGGGGGAGCGACCACAAGGCGUGAAGCUUGCGGUUC